UGGGCUCUGCAGUGUGAGGUAGUUGGUUGUAUGGUUUCGCAUAAUAAACAGCAUGGAGAUAACUGUACAACCUUCUAGCUUUCCCUGCGGAGUCAC
This is a microRNA precursor of Poecilia formosa (Amazon molly), 96 nucleotides long. The record is from Ensembl. Lineage: Eukaryota; Metazoa; Chordata; Actinopteri; Cyprinodontiformes; Poeciliidae.